RNAcentral lists this ribosomal RNA (545 nucleotides) under uncultured organism. Its description in RNAcentral is "bacterial SSU rRNA". It matches the Rfam family "Bacterial small subunit ribosomal RNA", at positions 1 to 534 of the family's 1533-position model. The record is from RNAcentral.
UGGAUCCAGACUUUGAUCUGGCUCAGGAUGAACGCUAGCUACAGGCUUAACACAUGCAAGUCGAGGGGAAACGAUAUUGGAAGCUUGCUUCCGAUAGGCGUCGACCGGCGCACGGGUGAGUAACGCGUAUCCAACCUGCCCAUCACUUGGGGAUAACCUUGCGAAAGUAAGACUAAUACCCAAUGACGUCUCUAGAAGACAUCUGAAGGAGAUUAAAGAUUUAUCGGUGAUGGAUGGGGAUGCGUCUGAUUAGCUUGUUGGCGGGGUAACGGCCCACCAAGGCGACGAUCAGUAGGGGUUCUGAGAGGAAGGUCCCCCACAUUGGAACUGAGACACGGUCCAAACUCCUACGGGAGGCAGCAGUGAGGAAUAUUGGUCAAUGGACGAGAGUCUGAACCAGCCAAGUAGCGUGCAGGAUGACGGCCCUAUGGGUUGUAAACUGCUUUUAUAAGGGAAUAAAGUGAGUCUCGUGAGACUUUUUGCAUGUACCUUAUGAAUAAGGACCGGCUAAUUCCGUGCCAGCAGCCGCGGUAAUACGGAAGGUC